GACGAACGCUGGCGGCACGCUUAACACAUGCAAGUCGAACGAGAGAAGAGAAGCUUGCUUUUCUGAUCUAGUGGCGGACGGGUGAGUAACACGUGAGCAAUCUGCCUUUCAGAGGGGGAUACCGAUUGGAAACGAUCGUUAAUACCGCAUAACAUAAUUGAACCGCAUGAUUUGAUUAUCAAAGAUUUAUCGCUGAAAGAUGAGCUCGCGUCUGAUUAGCUAGUUGGUAAGGUAACGGCUUACCAAGGCGACGAUCAGUAGCCGGACUGAGAGGUUGACCGGCCACAUUGGGACUGAGACACGGCCCAGACUCCUACGGGAGGCAGCAGUGGGGAAUAUUGCACAAUGGAGGAAACUCUGAUGCAGCGAUGCCGCGUGAGGAAAGAAGGUUUUAGGAUUGUAAACCUCUGUCUUCAGGGACGAAAAAAGACGGUACCUGAGGAGGAAGCUCCGGCUAACUACGUG
This 465-nucleotide ribosomal RNA is filed under the name uncultured bacterium. Its description in RNAcentral is "partial 16S ribosomal RNA". It matches the Rfam family "Bacterial small subunit ribosomal RNA", at positions 28 to 507 of the family's 1533-position model. The record is from RNAcentral.